Molecule: ribosomal RNA, 253 nt
Filed under: uncultured bacterium
Lineage: Bacteria
Description: partial 16S ribosomal RNA
Rfam family: Bacterial small subunit ribosomal RNA
Source: RNAcentral
UACGAAGGGGGCUAGCGUUGUUCGGAUUUACUGGGCGUAAAGCGCACGUAGGCGGAUCGUUAAGUCGGGGGUGAAAUCCUGGAGCUCAACUCCAGAACUGCCUUCGAUACUGGCGAUCUUGGGUCCGGAAGAGGUGAGUGGAACUCCUAGUGUAGAGGUGGAAUUCGUAGAUAUUAGGAAGAACACCAGUGGCGAAGGCGGCUCACUGGUCCGGUACUGACGCUGAGGUGCGAAAGCGUGGGGAGCAAACAGG